Molecule: ribosomal RNA, 520 nt
Filed under: Bacillus sp. EK-CH-I2
Lineage: Bacteria; Bacillati; Bacillota; Bacilli; Caryophanales; Bacillaceae
Description: partial 16S ribosomal RNA
Rfam family: Bacterial small subunit ribosomal RNA
Source: RNAcentral
AUAACUCCGGGAAACCGGGGCUAAUACCGGAUAAUAUUUUGAACUGCAUGGNUCGAAAUUGAAAGGCGGCUUCGGCUGUCNCUUAUGGAUGGACCCGCGUCGCAUUANCUAGUUGGUGAGGUAACGGCUCACCAAGGNNACNAUGCNUANCCNACCUGAGAGGGUGAUCGGCCACACUGGGACUGAGACACGGCCCAGACUCCUACGGGAGGCAGCANUAGGGAAUCUUCCGCAAUGGACGAAAGUCUGACGGAGCAACGCCGCGUGAGUGAUGAAGGCUUUCGGGUCGUAAAACUCUGUUGUUAGGGAAGAACAAGUGCUAGUUGAAUAAGCUGGCACCUUGACGGUACCUAACCAGAAAGCCACGGCUAACUACGUGCCANCAGCCGCGGUAAUACNUANGUGGCAAGCGUUAUCCGGAAUUAUUGGGCGUAAAGCGCGCGCANGUGGUUUCUUAAGUCUGAUGUGAAAGCCCACGGCUCANCCGUGGAGGGUCAUUGGAAACUGGGAGACUUGAGUG